AACAAUCAAAAGAUCCCAAACUCCUUUUCCCUUUAGGAUUAGUAGUCCUAAAUGCCUCUGAGACUUAUAGGAUUGGGACAGGUACUAGCAUGCAAUAAGUAACGAUACAUUUCACGCUUUAAUACCUUAACGAGGUGGGAAGGAUAGAAUAUAGAUAUGAUGACCAGUACGCUAAUAUCACAUGCGAUCCCUCUUUUGAGGAGUGUAUACCCGGUAUUACAUUGAUGUGAUCCGUAUUAUUUGAAAACCUAGGACCCCCUUUCCCUUCUAC
Molecule: long non-coding RNA, 271 nt
Filed under: Nicotiana benthamiana
Lineage: Eukaryota; Viridiplantae; Streptophyta; Magnoliopsida; Solanales; Solanaceae
Description: long non-coding RNA (NBEN_LNC010018)
Source: RNAcentral